This 439-nucleotide ribosomal RNA is filed under the name uncultured bacterium. RNAcentral's name for it is "partial 16S ribosomal RNA". It matches the Rfam family "Bacterial small subunit ribosomal RNA", at positions 339 to 795 of the family's 1533-position model. The record is from RNAcentral.
CUACGGGACGCACCAGUGAGGAAUAUUGCACAAUGGGGGGAACCCUGAUGCAGCAACGCCGCGUGGAGGAUGACGCAUUUCGGUGUGUAAACUCCUUUUAUAUGUCAAGAAAAUGACGGUAGCAUAUGAAUAAGCACCGGCUAACUCCGUGCCAGCAGCCGCGGUGAUACGGAGGGUGCAAGCGUUACUCGGAAUCACUGGGCGUAAAGGACGCGUAGGCGGGUUGGAAAGUCAGGUGUGAAAUCCUACAGCUUAACUGUAGAACUGCACUUGAAACUUCUAAGCUAGAGUAUGGGAGGGGGAGAUGGAAUUAGUGGUGUAGGGGUAAAAUCCGUAGAUAUCACUAGGAAUACCUAAAACGAAGGCGAUCUCCUGGAACAUUACUGACGCUAAGGCGUGAAAGCGUGGGGAGCAAACAGGAUUAGAUACCCGGGUAGUC